Molecule: long non-coding RNA, 2234 nt
Filed under: Amphimedon queenslandica
Lineage: Eukaryota; Metazoa; Porifera; Demospongiae; Haplosclerida; Niphatidae
Description: uncharacterized LOC105313606
Source: RNAcentral
UCAGACACCCGUUGGGUUUGUAGAUAUGCAGCCGUUAAUGCUGUAUGUCGCAAAUACGACUCUCUCAUUCUCACAGUAGAAGAGGUAGCUGAUUCAUCAGUCAAUGAAUACUCAUGGGCCAUUGAAGCACGUGGGUUACUUCAUCAGAUUAAAUCUUUCUCCUUUCUUCUCCCUCCAAUUAUGUUUGACAGAGUACUUACAGCAACGAAACGGUUGUCUGAUAAUCUAGAGAGUAGCAACAUCAAUCUGCCUUGUGCUACUUAGCUUGUGGUAGCUACUAAAAGUGUACAUAUGGACUAUCGGUCUGAUACAUACUAGGAUAAGGUUUAUAACGAUGCUACUCGAUUAGCUGAGAACCAUGAUAUCUCAAGUCAAGUACCCACAAGACGUAGGACAGUUACACCAGCUAGACUAUAUGAUAGCAAUGUAUAUGAGACACUAGGCCAAGAACAAACUAGGAACUCACUGCCAAAGCAAGAGUUUAAAACUCAGUUUUACAAUCCAGUCCUAGAAAAAGUUUCUGUGUGAGUUAAUGAGAUUUGAAGUCCACAAUAAUAUCGACGUUCAGAAAGGAAUAGCAGCUUGCACUCCAAAAUUGUCCAAUUUUCUCUCCAUUGAUGAUCUCACUUCUUUCACUGAGAUGCAUGGAGUACGGCCAGGAAAUGAUCUGAAGACUGAAGUAGAACUGGUGAAGAGACUCUCUGAAACAUCCUCAAUGGACAUUUUAGCUUCCUUCAGAUGUUACCGCUUAUCAUUUAAACCAGCAUAUAGCACACUCUCUAAGCUGGCACAAAUUGCCAUGAAAAUAGCAGUCACCAGUUCUGAAAGUGAACACUCUUUUUCAGCUUUGAAGAGGAUCAAACUUGUCUGAGAAGUACUAUGGGCCAGGAACGUCUGUCAGCAUUAGCUAUCUUGUCUAUUGAAGGAGAAAUAGGUCAAGAGCUACAUCAUGAAGCCAUCAUUGAUCAGUUUGCCUCAUCUGUUAAGAAUAGGCGCAUUGUCCUCUCUUAGUAAAAAAUUGUCACAACAGUGACCAAAACCUAAUCUCCUUUAUCCAUAACCACACCUUAAUUGCUUUAUAACCACUCCUUCAUUGCAAAGGAACCACACCUUUUCAUUCAUGAGCAUAUUUAUUAAUUAAAACCACAUCUUUAAUUAUUGUGCCCCCCAGAAAAAGAAUCCUAGAUCUGCCACUACCUGUAGGUAGUGAAGAAGACAUGGAGUGGAUGACACCUUCUCCACCAACACCAUCUCCACCAUCAUCACCUCAUCAAUAGGAAGGAGCAAAGAAUAAUAGAUCAAAGAAAUGGAUCACAACUUCAGUGUAACUUUAAAAAAAUACGUGUAAUAAUUAUAAUUUUAGCAAUUAAUUAAUCAAGAUACAUAUGCAUAUAUUCACUCUUCCAUCUUGUGUAUCAAUGAAUAAUGCUUUUUUUGUAGUCAUUAGUGGCUUAGUAUUUACUGUAUAUAUGUAUAUUAUCUGUAUGUAUCCAUUAUUUUUAGUUUAACAUGACCAUCAGCUUAAAGUUGUCAUCACAAGACAACUUUGGAAACAAGUUUAAAAGCUGGUACUAGAGGUUUAAGGCUGUUCAGUGUUGCAAGUGAGGUUAAGAAGAUAAGAUCAGAAGAGACAAAGACUCAAGAAGAAGACAAGAAAGAAGACCCACAGCCACUGCAAGUGAGCUAGGUUGGCUGAUUACUGAUUGCCAUACACACUUUGGGUGGUAGCUAUUCAGUUUGGAGCUGACUCUGCUUGGUGUUGAGAUGAAGAAGAACACAGUCCUACAUUCCUGUUCAAUGUUGCAAGUUAAGUGAGCCUUACUUCAUGGCUUGAUGGGCCAACACGCUGUGGGUGGUGUCUAUUUAGUUGCAUUGUGGAUGCUGCUUUGCUGGUAGCCUUGUUCAGUUCUGUGGAGCUAUAGUUGUCCCAGGCCUUGGGCACUAUAGAGACAGACAUGUAGAGCUGUUCAGCACUACAGAGCUAGUUGCCCUACGGACUUGGGGGACUAGAUAAAGACUCGUACCUCUAGUACCAGCAAAAUCUUAUUUGCCCUUUUAAAGGCGGGUGGUGGUGUGGGGGCCAGCUAAGCAGUGGCACCUAUUCGUGAUGGUGCUGCCAUCACACUGUAUAUCAGUGUGCAAGACCACUGCACUUGCAUAAACAUUAACCUGUAUAAAUUAUGAUCAUGUCAUCAUUUUAUUUUUAUAUUGUUCUCACUUUUAAAUUCCACAAA